UGGGGAAUAUUGCACAAUGGGCGAAAGCCUGAUGCAGCGACGCCGCGUGAGGGAUGACGGCCUUCGGGUUGUAAACCUCUUUCAGCAGGGACGAAGCGCAAGUGACGGUACCUGCAGAAGAAGCACCGGCUAACUACGUGCCAGCAGCCGCGGUAAUACGUAGGGUGCAAGCGUUGUCCGGAAUUACUGGGCGUAAAGAGUUCGUAGGCGGUUUGUCGCGUCGUUUGUGAAAACCAGCAGCUCAACUGCUGGCUUGCAGGCGAUACGGGCAGACUUGAGUACUGCAGGGGCGACUUGAAUUCCUGGUGUAGCGGUGAAAUGCGCAGAUAUCAGGAGGAACACCGGUGGCGAAGGCGGGUCUCUGGGCAGUAACUGACGCUGAGGAACGAAAGCGUUGGUAGCGAACAGG
This 409-nucleotide ribosomal RNA is filed under the name Bacillota bacterium. Its description in RNAcentral is "Firmicutes bacterium partial 16S ribosomal RNA". It matches the Rfam family "Bacterial small subunit ribosomal RNA", at positions 355 to 776 of the family's 1533-position model. The record is from RNAcentral. Lineage: Bacteria; Bacillati; Bacillota.